Mesocricetus auratus (golden hamster) is the source of this 853-nucleotide long non-coding RNA. RefSeq lists it as uncharacterized. The transcript is spliced from 4 exons. Lineage: Eukaryota; Metazoa; Chordata; Mammalia; Rodentia; Cricetidae. The record is from RefSeq and is a predicted model, not a curated record.
AUCCAGGGCUGGUGCUGAGGGGCAUGGACAUGAGUGGUGUGUUCCAGGGUCUUGCCAUUCCUUGCUUCCUCACCUUUGAAGUAAGGAUAUGACUGAAAAGUGUUUCCGUAGGAAAAACGUUCAUCCUGAACUGGAAACCAAUUCCAACUAUAUUUUUAUGUGAUGAAAAAUGAAGGAGAUGAGCAUUACUUCAGUGUUGUAUUUUUAGAGCAACACUUGCAAGUUACUUGAUUAGUAUCAAAAGGCUCUGAUUCCCACAUAACCUUUGGAUAAACAAGUUGUGAUACUGUUGGCAACAUGCUAAGAGGUAUUCCUGCUCUGCUCCAGCUGGCACUGGUCAUGUGACAAUAAAAUAUAAGCAGUGGCCCACCAGGAGGAAUUCUAGAAAGGCUGGCAUCUCAGCUUCCCUUCCAGCCUAGAAUGCGAAAGUGAAAUCUGGAUGUGAUUGCAGUCCUCUUGCAACCAUGAAGUGAGGAACAUGAAAGUAAUAGCCAGCACCCUAGGGCCCCUGACAGAAUUGUUCAGCAGGUGAAGCAAGGCCAACAACUGCUUGCUGCCAGAUGCCAUGCAGAACCACACGUUGGGUCUUUCUUUUUCUGUCUUUUGAAGAACAAAGAAGAUUCUUAAGAGCUUUGUAUCAGACAAAGAAUUAAGUCAUACAAUGGAAAAUAAAAGUGGAUAAUUUUGAAAAAGGAAACAUGAAUACUAAUGGAAAAUUGAGGCCGGCUGGGUUUUUUUUUAACACUUAAGUAUUAAGUGUGGAGCCACAAAUAGAAGAGAAACCCAUCUUACAACAUAACCAUGUGCUUGCCUUAAGAGGAAAAUGAAGAUCAAAGGGUUUCCCAGAGUCUAG